GGUUUACCUGUGUGACUGCGUACCUUUUGUAUAAUGGGUCAGCGACUUAUAUUCUGUAGCAAGGUUAACCGAAUAGGGGAGCCGGAGGGAAACCGAGUCUUAAUUGGGCGUUAAGUUGCAGGGUAUAGACCCGAAACCCGGUGAUCUAGCCAUGGGCAGGUUGAAGGUUGGGUAACACUAACUGGAGGACCGAACCGACUAAUGUUGAAAAAUUAGCGGAUGACCUGUGGCUGGGGGUGAAAGGCCAAUCAAACCGGGAGAUAGCUGGUUCUCCCCGAAAGCUAUUUAGGUAGCGCCUCGUGAAUUCAUCUCCGGGGGUAGAGCACUGUUUCGGCUAGGGGGCCAUCCCGGCUUACCAACCCGAUGCAAACUGCGAAUACCGGAGAAUGUUAUCACGGGAGACACACGGCGGGUGCUAACGUCCGUCGUGAAGAGGGAAACAACCCAGACCGCCAGCUAAGGUCCCAAAGUCAUGGUUAAGUGGGAAACGAUGUGGGAAGGCCCAGACAGCCAGGAUGUUGGCUUAGAAGCAGCCAUCAUUUAAAGAAAGCGUAAUAGCUCACUGGUCGAGUCGGCCUGCGCGGAAGAUGUAACGGGGCUAAACCAUGCACCGAAGCUGCGGCAGCGACGCUGAUGCGUUGUUGGGUAGGGGAGCGUUC
RNAcentral lists this ribosomal RNA (659 nucleotides) under Salmonella enterica subsp. enterica serovar Muenster. RNAcentral describes it as "partial 23S ribosomal RNA". It matches the Rfam family "Bacterial large subunit ribosomal RNA", at positions 582 to 1241 of the family's 2925-position model. Lineage: Bacteria; Pseudomonadati; Pseudomonadota; Gammaproteobacteria; Enterobacterales; Enterobacteriaceae. The record is from RNAcentral.